Molecule: ribosomal RNA, 316 nt
Filed under: uncultured eukaryote
Lineage: Eukaryota
Description: partial 18S ribosomal RNA
Rfam family: Eukaryotic small subunit ribosomal RNA
Source: RNAcentral
CCCUUAGAUGUUCUGGGCCGCACGCGCGCUACACUGAUGCAUGCAACAAGUCUUUUCCUUGGCCGAGAGGCCUGGGCAAUCUUUGAAUAUGCAUCGUGAUGGGGAUAGACGAUUGCAAUUAUUCGUCUUCAACGAGGAAUUCCUAGUAAACGCAAGUCAUCAGCUUGCAUUGAUUACGUCCCUGCCCUUUGUACACACCGCCCGUCGCACCUACCGAUUGAAUGGUCCGGUGAAAUCCUCGGAUCGAGCCGUGGGGCAACUCCGGUUCGAGAAGUUGAUUAAACCUUACCAUUUAGAGGAAGGUGAAGUCGUAACA